RNAcentral lists this ribosomal RNA (1371 nucleotides) under Clostridium sp. Its description in RNAcentral is "partial 23S ribosomal RNA". It matches the Rfam family "Bacterial large subunit ribosomal RNA", at positions 458 to 1933 of the family's 2925-position model. The record is from RNAcentral. Lineage: Bacteria; Bacillati; Bacillota; Clostridia; Eubacteriales; Clostridiaceae.
UCCCAAGGCUAAAUACUACCUGAUGACCGAUAGUGAAGCAGUACCGUGAGGGAAAGGUGAAAAGAACCCCGGGAGGGGAGUGAAAUAGAACCUGAAACCAUGUGCCUACAACCGAUCAAAGCACCUUAUGUGUGUGAUGAUGUGCUUUUUGUAGAACGAGCCAACGAGUUACGGUAUGUAGCGAGGUUAAGUACUUAAGGUACGGAGCCGAAGGGAAACCGAGUCUUAAUAGGGCGACUAGUUGCAUGCUGUAGACCCGAAACCGGGUGACCUAUCCAUGGCCAGGUUGAAGCGAGGGUAAAACCUCGUGGAGGACCGAACCACGUUGCUGUUGAAAAAGCAUGGGAUGAGCUGUGGAUAGCGGAGAAAUUCCAAUCGAACUCGGAUAUAGCUGGUUCUCCUCGAAAUAGCUUUAGGGCUAGCGUCGUGAAAUGUGAGUACUGGAGGUAGAGCACUGAAUAGGCUAGGGGGCAUAGCGCUUACCGAACCUUAUCAAACUCCGAAUGCCAGAUACUAUCAGCACGGCAGUCAGACUAUGAAAGAUAAGUUCCAUGGUCAAAAGGGAAACAGCCCAGAUCGUCAGCUAAGGUCCCAAAGUGUAAGUUAAGUGGAAAAGGAUGUGGGAUUUCUAAGACAACUAGGAUGUUGGCUUACGGGUUCAUACUUUGUAUGAGCGGUAGAGGAGCGUCGUAAUCGGGCUGAAGUCGUACCGUAAGGAGCGGUGGACUGAUUACGAGUGAGAAUGUUGGCAUUAGUAGCGAGAUGUAGGUGAGAAUCCUACAGGCCGAAUAUCUAAGGUUUCCUGAGUAAAGUUUGUCUUCUCAGGGUUAGUCGGGACCUAAGGCGAGGCCGAGAGGCGUAGUCGAUGGACAAUUGGUUGAUAUUCCAAUACCACUAUAAUCGUUAUUAUCGAUGGUGUGACGGAGAAGGAUAGGAUGUGCCAGCUAUUGGAUGCUGGUCUAAGCGUUGAGGGAGUUAGAACAGGCAAAUCCGUUCUAACAAUCCUAGGGCGUGAUGGGGAAGGUUCUACGGAACCGAAGUAUCUGAUUUCAUGCUUCCAAGAAAAGCAUCUAGAAAGAGAAGUAGUGCCCGUACCGCAAACCGACACAGGUAGAUGAGGAGAGAAUCCUAAGGCCGACGGAAGAAUCACAGUUAAGGAACUAGGCAAAUUGACCCCGUAACUUCGGGAGAAGGGGUGCCUACCAUUUGGUAGGCCGCAGAGAAUAGGCACAAGCAACUGUUUAACAAAAACACAGGUCUCUGCUAAAGCGUAAGCUGAUGUAUAGGGGCUGACGCCUGCCCGGUGCUGGAAGGUUAAGGGGAACACUUAGCGCAAGCGAAGGUGUGAACUUAAGCCCCAGUAAACGGCGG